AAUCUCUGAGGUCCAUAGAUCUCAGGUCUGCGUGAAAUUGUCUCAGCUAGGCCUAAAGUCACCGGGCCGCCCGAGCCUCCCUCUCAAGGAGCCUGGAUCUUAGCCUGAGAGAUGAAGAAAGCCACUACGGGAUUGAGGGAGUAGACACCUCUGCCUGUCCUUUGGCGGUGCCCACAUAAGGAAACUUUCCUCCCAGAGGUGUGCUGGAUUCCUAUCCCUGACAUGGGGUUGACAUCAAAACAAUUCUGCAACAGGAAGAACCAGGAGGCGGCUCAUCUGACAAGAACCCCUCCUUCAGCAGGAAGACUGGAGGUGGUUUGAUCUGUGUGACUUCUGAAGAGCACUGCCUGACUUCAAUACCCACGGUCACCUUCCCUUCCAACUGAGGAGUGUGAGACAGAAGGCUGCUGGAAAAUGUAAAGAAAAAAAAAAGGCAUAGCGGCAGGUUCAUCCUUGCAACGACGCUUGCUGGAGUCUCCUUGUUAGAAGAGCAGAAUGUUCCAGAAAUGCAGCAAAGCAGAGCCUGAGCUGAGUCUUCAGGCAUCAGCAGCCUAGUGAAGAAGACAUGUGGCCCAACAGAUAGGUGUGCAGCAAUAAUUAAAGACCUGGUAUCUGGCCAUAGACCUUGGCGGGCCUGUGGUAUGCCUGGAGUCUAGGGAUAAGAACAGCCGCACGUGUGCAUGCAAGUCACCGGGAGCCCUACUGGCCUGUUUUCUAAGUGGAUCAGGCUCCAGUAAAGAUCACCAGCUUACUUGUUUAAAAGGGUUUUCUCCAGAUCUACUAAAAGAGGAUGUCC
Mus musculus (house mouse) is the source of this 796-nucleotide long non-coding RNA. RefSeq annotates it as RIKEN cDNA 4933407I05 gene. NCBI's taxonomy places the organism in Eukaryota, Metazoa, Chordata, Mammalia, Rodentia, Muridae. The transcript has 3 exons. The record is from RefSeq and is marked validated.